Molecule: long non-coding RNA, 1616 nt
Organism: Calidris pygmaea (Spoon-billed sandpiper)
Lineage: Eukaryota; Metazoa; Chordata; Aves; Charadriiformes; Scolopacidae
Source: Ensembl
CCCGGGGGUCUGCAGCAGAAGCUGCUCCAAGGCUCCCCCGGCCUCACGCCGCAGCACCGCUCUGACAGGGACAGGGGUGGCCGCCUCCCGCCCGAGCCGCUUCUUCUCCCCCCGGUGCCGGGGGCGUUGAGGAGCCUGGCUCCCCGCUGGCAGAGGCCUUGAGGCCUGCCCCCUGAGGUGCACACCCUGCCUUUGUUCAGCGGGCGGGAGGGGAUGUACCCCGUUGCACCGAUGGCGCCGAGUGCCAUGGCGGCGGAGGGACCGCAACGCUAGGCCGCAGCUGGAGAAUGAAUCUGUUAGUGCAGCGUCUCCCGGGACUCCCCCGGCUCCCCGGCCAUCUGCGGGUCAAUGAGAGACAACCGGUAGCAUCUGGCAGCCAUAGUCGCAGGAGGAAAGAGAAAGGGAUGAUGAUGUUCCCAUACAGCAACGUGGAUCUGGCAGGAAGGCUAAUUAAUGCGAUGUGGAAAAAGAAUACACCAAAGUGGCAUAACCUCCACACUGGGAGCUUCACAUCUUCGUCUUGGACUCUGCAUUUUGCUCAGCAGCAUCCUCAGCAUUUGCUCUGCGCGUGACAUCACCUGUGACAAACUCCUAGAGGCUGCCUGGGAUGUACAGUCGUUAGUAAGACAUUGUGAAGGUAAAAGGUUUGUGAAAGCAUAACUCAGAGCAUAAACUGCUGUGAAGAAUCUUAAUUGUUGUUGAAGAAGCAGAAAGAACCCCAAAUAGAGUUGAGGGUGAGGUUGUGAGUUAGAAAAAACGCUGUAUCUUCUUUUCUUUUAAACUGAAAGAAAUCUGGUAUUUGCAUCUGCAAGAGAAGAACUAGAAGCCCAAAGCGACACAGUACUGAACAACCUUCAAAUAACUAUCUUGAGCUGUAAUGGGAUGAUAAUAACGCACUCUGGUCUUCACAGGGCAAGUUAGUGAUUCAGUCGCUGUGUGUUGCAGGUGGCUCACUGCUCCACCCAGGUAUAGAAGAGGAUGGUGUGGCUCUUGUAGGAGAAGUGAUCCUUCAGAAUUAAAAAGUUUGAAUUCAGAACACCUAAAAGCAGUAGUCAAACUGCAAGAGUUUUCUGUGCAUCUCUUUUAAUGACAGGAAAGCUUUAGGAAGGGGGCAACUUGACCUGCACAGACUUUUUUUUUCUCUUUGAGUCAGUGGAAAUGAUGGUACCAGAACAGGGGUAAGAGCUAGUGUGUUGUAUGAUCAUACCAACACACACACCCACACUCAACUUCACACAGCUUUUGAAGUCACAAGGAUGUUACGUUUGAUGGGUUCCUGCUGGGGAUGAGGGUGUAGAGGGAUGGCUUCAGGCUGCCAAGUCAUACAACUCUACUUGGAUGGCUUUGUGUCAAGGAACAGUAAUGAGUGAACUCACUGGGCCACUACAUUGUAUAGAGCAGCAAAACUAGCUCCCUGGUUUGCUCCGCUGAAAAUAAUUAAGAGGAACAAGUUUUAUAGUUUCAUAAAAACAAUCUGACUUUCUGACACAAGAACAUACAAUUUGUCUCUUACUUCCCAAACUAAUCAUCUUUCCUAAACAAGAUGCUAUAUUUGUUGCCUGCCAUUUUGUCUGGUCGUUAAUAAAUGGUUAGUUUACACAGAUGGAUGGGUUUAC